RNAcentral lists this ribosomal RNA (253 nucleotides) under uncultured bacterium. Its description in RNAcentral is "partial 16S ribosomal RNA". It matches the Rfam family "Bacterial small subunit ribosomal RNA", at positions 524 to 776 of the family's 1533-position model. The record is from RNAcentral.
UACGGAGGGGGCUAGCGUUGUUCGGAAUUACUGGGCGUAAAGCGCGCGUAGGCGGCUUUGUAAGUUAGAGGUGAAAGCCCAGGGCUCAACCCUGGAAUUGCCUUUAAGACUGCAUCGCUUGAACAUCGGAGAGGUAAGUGGAAUUCCGAGUGUAGAGGUGAAAUUCGUAGAUAUUCGGAAGAACACCAGUGGCGAAGGCGGCUCACUGGCCCGGUACUGACGCUGAGGUGCGAAAGCGUGGGGAGCAAACAGG